GGGUCCAACUGGUGUUGGUAAAACCGAGCUUGCCAAAGCUCUUGCGGAGCAACUGUUCGAUGACGAGAACUUGAUGAUCCGAAUUGAUAUGUCGGAGUAUAUGGAGCAACAUUCAGUUUCUAGGCUUAUUGGAGCUCCGCCUGGAUAUGUUGGUCACGACGAAGGUGGACAACUAACUGAGGCAGUGAGGAGAAGGCCAUAUAGUGUCAUCCUGUUCGAUGAAGUGGAGAAGGCGCAUGUUGCUGUCUUCAACACCUUGCUCCAAGUUCUUGACGAUGGCCGGCUAACUGAUGGGCAAGGGAGAACAGUAGACUUCAGCAAUUCUGUCAUUAUCAUGACAUCUAAUUUAGGUGCAGAGUUCCUCCUUGCUGGAAUGGUUGGUGAGUCCUCAAUGCAGAUAGCCCGUGACCGUGUGAUGCAAGAGGUGAGAAGACAUUUUAGGCCUGAGCUACUGAAUCGGUUGGACGAAAUUGUUGUGUUCGACCCCCUAUCUCAUGAUCAACUGAGGAAGGUAGCUAGGCUUCAGAUGAAGGAUGUGGCCCUCCGCCUUGCUGAAAGAGGCGUUGCUCUGGCGGUCUCUGAUGCUGCUCUCGAUGUUGUUUUGUCUGAGUCCUACGAUCCUGUAUAUGGUGCGAGGCCGAUUAGGAGGUGGCUUGAGAAGCGUGUGGUUACUCAGCUGUCGAGGAUGCUUAUAAGGGAGGAGAUAGACGAGAACUCGACAGUGUUCAUUGAUGUAGUGCCUGGUAAGAAGGAAUUGUCGUACAAGGUGGACAAGAAUGGUGGACUGGUGAAUGCAGCGACUGGACGGAAGUCGGAUAUCCUGAUACAGAUCCCCAAUGGGGCUGUGAGAAGUGAUGCUGCUCAGGCUGUGAAGAAGAUGAAGAUAGUGCAGGAUGAUGAUGAGGAGGAGAUGGAAGAAGAUUAGGCAGCUUGGUAGCUUUUUGGCUUUAUCACUUUAUCUUUGUAAUGCUUGCUACUGAGACUGUGUGCCUGUUUAGGUUUACUGUUUGAUUGUAUCAAGUUAUCUAAACUUGAGUUUAAGUUCAGUCAUGGAAUGUAU
RNAcentral lists this unclassified non-coding RNA (1060 nucleotides) under Hevea brasiliensis (rubber tree). The record is from RNAcentral. Lineage: Eukaryota; Viridiplantae; Streptophyta; Magnoliopsida; Malpighiales; Euphorbiaceae.